CUUGGAUUUGAUAAAAUAUGUCCUCAGUGAUUAUUCCAUUUAAGAUCAUGGAAAGUGCAGUUCAGAUGGUAAAUGUCACACUGCAAAGAGUAACUAACUUUUUUUUCAAUUAUUUUAUUGAGGUCAUAAUGGUGUGUAACAUUGUGUAAUUUCAGGUGUACAUUAUCAGUUUCUGUAUAGACUGCAAGAGUAAUUUAUAUUUUGAUGGAGGUAGAAAAAUCUGCCAGCUCAUUCUAUAAGGGCAGGAAGCUAGAAAUGGUGGUAAAGACUGCUGGAGGAGUCCUCAUCCUAUUUUCAUAGGAUACGAUGCCCUGGGCCACAUGGUGACACACCAGGAGGCCUCUGGUGUACCGGUGUGGGUGAUGAGAACAGAUGCGAAGUUGGGCUUCCCCACUCCUCCUGCCCUAAGGCACAGCCCUCAGAGAAGGCAGGCACAGGUUUCAUCACCCAGCUGCCCAGGAGGCUGCCCACCACUGCCAGUGAUAUGGGGAGGAAAGAGUCAUCCCAGCCAACACUACCAUCCCCUCGACAACCGCUGAGUCAGUGCUGGGAGCAGAAAUGGGAUCCCAGGGUGAUGAAGGGGUGCUUGGAGCUUGUGACCUAGAACCCUAAACCUGCCAAAUUCAAUAAUUUCCUGACAAUGCAUGAAAGCUGGUGGCAGCCUAUUUCCUCUAUUUGCUUGUCUCCAGAAUUAGAGCUCAGUCAUCUGGAAUUGCAGUUUCUCUAAAUGAAUAUGUUUCCUGGAUUCCUUAGUCAUAUAUACUUAGCAAGACAUGGACAAGGGCGAAUGAAACACAAGUGUGUUGUGAGGUGUGAUGUGGUGAGGACACCAGGAACAAAUCAAAGGACACACAAGAGGAAAAGGGGAAGCCUGCCUGUCUUCAUCUCUCGCCCUUGGCCACCCUGUGGAGACCCUGGUGCUUCCACUUCUUUCUAGAAGUCUCAAGGCAGGUUGAGUAGCUCUCUCUCCUGAGUGGCUGGAGUGUGCUGCCAGAGAAGGAAAAGGGAAGAGCAAGGCUCUGCCACUGACAAUUACUUUCUCAGGUCACUGGAGCCCCAACAAACUUUCAGGGGAAAUUACGACCCAGUUGAAGACUUCUCUUUUCCUGCUCCCUAGUCAAGGCAAAGGCCUUUGUGUCCCAGAAGUUUCCCUGCACACAGAAGAGGACUAGUGACUUGAUUCUGUUGAGAGCUGCCCGACCCUGGCUGGAAAGCAUCUGAGAUCCUCUUCAUCCAUUUUGUGAGAGACCAAUCAACCUAAUCAGCA
This 1267-nucleotide long non-coding RNA is filed under the name Equus asinus (donkey). RNAcentral's name for it is "lncRNA (ENSEASG00005032282.1)". Lineage: Eukaryota; Metazoa; Chordata; Mammalia; Perissodactyla; Equidae. The record is from RNAcentral.